UUUUUUUGGUCGGACGUGUUGGGUAAUCUAUUUAGUAUAAAAGAUUAGUCACUCAAGAUUACUUACGCCAGCACCACACAAAGUAAAAACAAUGGAGCACAUGAAGGUAAGAGGGAACGGCAUAGAUAUCCACGUAGCAAUCCAAGGUCCCUCCGAUGGUCCUAAAGUCCUUCUCCUCCAUGGCUUUCCUGAGCUUUGGUACUCAUGGCGCCACCAGAUCCCCGGACUCGCUGCUCGUGGCUACCGCGCUGUUGCUCCUGAGUCCUGACCUACGUGGUUACGGUGAUUCCGAUGCUCCCGCUGAGAUCUCUUCCUACACAUGCUUCAACAUCGUAGGUGACUUAGUCGCCGUCAUAUCCGCCUUGACCGAGGAUAAGGAGAAGGUGUUUGUGGUUGGACAUGACUGGGGUGCUCUCAUCGCUUGGUACCUUUGUCUCUUCCGACCAGAUAAGGUUAAAGCUUUGAUCAACCUUAGUGUCCCGUUCUUGCGUCCAACCGAUCCAUCCACGAAGCCCGUUGAACGCCUGCGUGCUUUCUACGGCGAUGAUUACUAUGUCUGCAGGUUUCAGGAAGUUGGAGUUAUAGAAGCUGAGAUUGCAGAGGUUGGAACAGAGAGAGUCAUGAAGAGACUACUCACUUAUAGAACUCCUGGACCGGUUAUUAUACCGAAGGACAAAAGUUUUUGGGGAUCCAAAGGCGAAACUAUACCUCUACCUUCUUGGCUAACUGAGGAAGAUGUUGCUUACUUCGUCAGCAAGUUUGAAGAGAAAGGCUUCUCUGGUCCAGUCAAUUACUACCGUAACUUUAAUCGGAACAAUGAGUUGUUGGGUCCAUGGGUGCGAUGCAAAAUCCAGGUUCCUACAAAGUUUGUGAUAGGUGAGCUUGAUUUGGUCUACGCUAUGCCUGGUGUCAAAGAAUAUAUACAUGGUCCCAAGUUUAAGGAAGAUGUGCCUUUUCUUGAAGAGCCUGUGGUCAUGGAAGGAGUGGCUCACUUCAUUAACCAAGAGAAGCCUCAAGAGAUUCUCCAAAUUAUCCUUGAUUUCAUCUCCAAAUUCUAAUCUUGAUUUCCCUUAAAACGCUCUUGUAAGCUCUAUAAUAAGUUGAAUUAUGAGGAUACAUCCUCAUGUAUGGUUAUAACCUCCUAUAUAAUAUAUGUAUUAAUAAUACUAAAGUUGGAUGCGUGCAUAUCAUCUGACAUUCUUCUAAGUUAUAUAAUAAGGAAAAAUAUAUAUAUAUAAUAA
This is an RNA transcript of Arabidopsis lyrata subsp. lyrata, 1241 nucleotides long. It is a transcript of the gene named epoxide hydrolase A, with no coding region annotated. The transcript has 3 exons. The record is from RefSeq and is a predicted model, not a curated record. Lineage: Eukaryota; Viridiplantae; Streptophyta; Magnoliopsida; Brassicales; Brassicaceae.